This 176-nucleotide ribosomal RNA is filed under the name Proteiniclasticum ruminis. Its description in RNAcentral is "16S rRNA. Bacterial SSU". It matches the Rfam family "Bacterial small subunit ribosomal RNA", at positions 1 to 165 of the family's 1533-position model. Lineage: Bacteria; Bacillati; Bacillota; Clostridia; Eubacteriales; Clostridiaceae. The record is from RNAcentral.
UUUAAAUUGAGAGUUUGAUCCUGGCUCAGGACGAACGCUGGCGGCGUGCCUAACACAUGCAAGUCGAGCGGAGAAUGCGGAUAUGUUUACAUAGAAGCGUUCUUAGCGGCGGACGGGUGAGUAACACGUGGGUAACCUGCCUCAAAGUGGGGGAUAGCCUUCCGAAAGGAAGAUUA